Piliocolobus tephrosceles (Ugandan red Colobus) is the source of this 2488-nucleotide RNA transcript. It is a transcript of the gene named keratin, type I cytoskeletal 19 pseudogene, with no coding region annotated. The record is from RefSeq and is a predicted model, not a curated record. NCBI's taxonomy places the organism in Eukaryota, Metazoa, Chordata, Mammalia, Primates, Cercopithecidae. The transcript has a single exon.
UCUUAAUUUAUAAGCUUUUUAUUAAAAAUGUUUUAAACUUGUUUUUACUUUUUAAACUUUUUUGUUAUAAAUGAAGACAUAAACACACACAUUAACCUAGGCCUACACAAUAUCAAGAUCAUCAGUAUCACUCUUCCACCUCCACAUCCUAUCCCACUGAAAGGUCUUCAGGGGCAGUAACAUGCAUAGAGCUGUCAUCUGUGAUAACAGUGCCUUCUUCAGGAUACCUCCUAAAGGACCUCUCUGAAGGUAUUUUACAGUUAACCUUUUUUUCUUUUUAGUAAGCAGAAGGAAUAUAUAAUUAACAAUAAAAAGUAUAGUACAUGCAUAAACUAAUAAUAGUCAUAUAAUACUAUUAUGUAUUAUGUACUAUAUAUAAUUAUAUGUGCCAUACUUUUAUAUAACUGGCAGCACAGUAGGUUUGUUUACACCAACAUCUCAAACACACGAGUAAUGCCCCCUUGUGUUACAGUGUUAGGAUGGCUAUGAUGUCACUAAGCGAUAGAAAUUUUUCAGCUUCAUUAUAAUUUUUUGGGACUGCUGUGUAUAUGCAGUCUAUAGUUGACUGAAAUGUUGUUUUGUGGUGCCUGACUGUAUAUAUGUGUAUGUAUGUAUAGGUAUAUGUCUACAUACACACUGUGUGUGUGUGUGUGUGUUUGUAUAAAAUGCAAACCUGAAACAUUUGUUAGCUUUUUCUAUUGUAUGUUUUUAAAAACUUGCUCUUCCAAAUUAUGCAUAAAAAGAAAACAAAAACAGGUGACUUGUUUUCUAUUAGGGGAGAAGUUGCAGUUAGAGAACCUCUAAUGGCGGUACUUUCAGCCCAACAAACGAGACUAAAAUGAUGUGGCCCAUAUACGUAAAGUAGUCAUUUCCUAUCUGCAGGGAAUAUGUUCCAUGACCCCCAGUAGAUGCCUGAAAUCACAGAUAGUGCCAAACCCUAUAUCUACUAUGUUUUUUCCUGUAUAUACACAUACCUAUGAUAAAGUUUAACUUAUAAAUUAAGCAUAGUAAGAAAUUAACAACAAUAAUAAAAUAGAACAAUUACAACAGUGUACCGUUACGUGAAUAAAAGUUAUGUGGAUGUCAGGCUCCUUCCGCGAAUCGCAGCCUCUGGGACCAGGGUCGCUCCGUUCGUGCUCCGCCUCGCCAUGACUUCCUACAGUUGUCGCCAGUCGUCGGCUACGUCGUCCUUCGGAGGCCUGGGCAGCGGCUCCGUGCGUUUUGGGCCGGGGGUCGCCUUUCGCGCGCCCAGCAUGCACGGGGGCUCCGGCGGCCGCGGUGUGUCCGUGUCCUCUGCCCGCUUCGUGUCUUCGUCCUCCUCCGGGGGCUACGGCGGCGGCUACGGCGGCGUCCUGGCCGCGUCCGACGGGCUGCUGGCGGGCAACGAGAAGCUCACCAUGCAGAACCUCAACGACCGCCUGGCCUCCUACCUGGACAAGGUGCGCGCCCUGGAGGCGGCCAGCGGCGAGCUGGAGGUGAAAAUCCGCGGCUGGUACCAGAAGCAGGGGCCCUGGCCCUCCUGCGACUACAGCCACUACUACACCACCAUCCAGGACCUGCGGGACAAGAUUCUUGGUGCCACCAUUGAGAACUCCAGGAUUGUCCUGCAGAUCGACAAUGCCCGUCUGGCUGCAGAUGACUUCCGAACCAAGUUUGAGACGGAGCAGGCUCUGCGUAUGAGCGUGGAGGCCGACAUCAACGGCCUGCGCAGGGUGCUGGAUGAGCUGACCCUGGCCAGGACUGACCUGGAGAUGCAGAUCGAGGGCCUGAAGGAAGAGCUGGCCUACCUGAAGAAGAACCAUGAGGAGGAAAUCAGUGUGCUGAGGGGCCAAGUGGGAGGCCAGGUCAGUGUGGAGGUGGAUUCGGCUCCGGGCACUGAUCUCGCCAAGAUCCUGAGUGACAUGCGAAGCCAAUACGAGGUCAUGGCCGAGCAGAACUGGAAGGAUGCUGAAGCCUGGUUCACCAGCCGGACUGAAGAAUUGAACCGGGAGGUGGCUGGCCACACGGAGCAGCUCCAGAUAAGCAGGUCCGAGGUCACUGACCUUCGGCGCACCCUCCAGGGUCUUGAGAUUGAGCUGCAGUCCCAGCUGAGCAAGAAAGCUGCUUUGGAAGACACACUGGCAGAAACAGAGGCGCGCUUUGGAGUCCAGCUGGCGCAUAUCCAGGCACUGAUCAGUGGUGUUGAAGCCCAGCUAGGUGAUGUGCGAGCUGAUAGUGAGCGGCAGAAUCAGGAGUACCAGGCGGCUCAUGGACAUCAAGUCGCGGCUGGAGCAGGAGAUUGCCACCUACCGCAGCCUGCUCGAGGGCCAGGAAGAUCACUACAACAACCUGUCCGCCUCCAAGGUCCUCUGAGGCAGCAGGCUCUGGGGGCUUCUGCUGUUCUUCGGGGGGUGUCUCCUGGGUAAGGGGAUGGGAAGGAAGGGACCCUUACCCCUGGCUCUUCCCCUGACCUUCCAAUAAAAUUUUAUGGUCCAAGGGAAAAAAAAAA